CUGGUUCCGGUUCACGUCCGAUCCGUCGCACAUCCGCGAUCGGGCGACCCGGCGACC
Molecule: non-coding RNA, 57 nt
Organism: Salinispora arenicola CNX891
Lineage: Bacteria; Bacillati; Actinomycetota; Actinomycetes; Micromonosporales; Micromonosporaceae
Source: Rfam